Molecule: ribosomal RNA, 465 nt
Filed under: uncultured Kingella sp.
Lineage: Bacteria; Pseudomonadati; Pseudomonadota; Betaproteobacteria; Neisseriales; Neisseriaceae
Description: bacterial SSU rRNA
Rfam family: Bacterial small subunit ribosomal RNA
Source: RNAcentral
CCUACGGGCGGCAGCAGUGGGGAAUUUUGGACAAUGGGCGCAAGCCUGAUCCAGCCAUGCCGCGUGUCUGAAGAAGGCCUUCGGGUUGUAAAGGACUUUUGUUAGGGAAGAAAAGGAUAGUGUUAAUACCAUUAUCUGCUGACGGUACCUAAAGAAUAAGCACCGGCUAACUACGUGCCAGCAGCCGCGGUAAUACGUAGGGUGCGAGCGUUAAUCGGAAUUACUGGGCGUAAAGCGAGCGCAGACGGUUUAUUAAGCAAGAUGUGAAAUCCCCGAGCUUAACUUGGGAACUGCGUUUUGAACUGGUAAGCUAGAGUAUGUCAGAGGGGGGUAGAAUUCCACGUGUAGCAGUGAAAUGCGUAGAGAUGUGGAGGAAUACCGAUGGCGAAGGCAGCCCCCUGGGAUAAUACUGACGUUCAUGCUCGAAAGCGUGGGUAGCAAACAGGAUUAGAUACCCGGGUAGUC